GACGAACGCUGGCGGCGUGCUUAACACAUGCAAGUCGAACGGAAAGGCCCUGCUUUUGUGGGGUGCUCGAGUGGCGAACGGGUGAGUAACACGUGAGUAACCUGCCCUAGUCUUUGGGAUAACUUCAGGAAACUGGGGCUAAUAUAGGAUAGGAGCCGCCGUUGCAGGGUGGGGGUUGGAACGUUUCUGCGGGUGGGGAUGGACUCGCGGAUUAUCAGCUUGUUGGUGGGGUAGUGGCAUACCAAGGAUUUGGCGGGUAGCCGGCCUGAGAGGGUGGCCGGCCACAUUGGGACUGAGAUACGGCCCAGACUCCUACGGGAGGCAGCAGUGGGGAAUAUUGCACAAUGGGCGGAAGCCUGAUGCAGCGGCGCCGCGGUCGUGAUGACGGCCUUCUGGUUGUAAACCGCUUUCGCCUGUGACGAAGCGUGAGUGACGGUAAUGGGUAAAGAAGCACCGGCUAACUACGUG
Molecule: ribosomal RNA, 468 nt
Filed under: uncultured bacterium
Lineage: Bacteria
Description: partial 16S ribosomal RNA
Rfam family: Bacterial small subunit ribosomal RNA
Source: RNAcentral